RNAcentral lists this ribosomal RNA (253 nucleotides) under uncultured bacterium. Its description in RNAcentral is "partial 16S ribosomal RNA". It matches the Rfam family "Bacterial small subunit ribosomal RNA", at positions 524 to 776 of the family's 1533-position model. The record is from RNAcentral.
UACGUAGGGGCCGAGCGUUGACCGGAGUUACUGGGCGUAAAGCGCGCGCAGGCGGCGGUCCAAGCCCGACGUGAAAGCCCCCGGCUCAACCGGGGAGGGUCGUCGGGGACGGGACCGCUUGAGGGCGGUAGGGGCUGGUGGAAUUCCCGGUGUAGUGGUGAAAUGCGCAGAGAUCGGGAGGAACACCGGUGGCGAAGGCGGCCAGCUGGGCCGACCCUGACGCUGAGGCGCGAGGGCGUGGGGAGCGAACGGG